RNAcentral lists this ribosomal RNA (252 nucleotides) under uncultured bacterium. RNAcentral describes it as "partial 16S ribosomal RNA". It matches the Rfam family "Bacterial small subunit ribosomal RNA", at positions 524 to 776 of the family's 1533-position model. The record is from RNAcentral.
UACGUAGGUCCCGAGCGUUGUCCGGAUUUAUUGGGCGUAAAGCGAGCGCAGGUGGUUUAUUAAGUCUGGUGUAAAAGGCAGUGGCUCAACCAUUGUAUGCAUUGGAAACUGGUAGACUUGAGUGCAGGAGAGGAGAGUGGAAUUCCAUGUGUAGCGGUGAAAUGCGUAGAUAUAUGGAGGAACACCGGUGGCGAAAGCGGCCCUCUGGCCUGUAACUGACACUGAGGCUCGAAAGCGUGGGAAGCAAACAGG